RNAcentral lists this long non-coding RNA (225 nucleotides) under Mytilus galloprovincialis (Mediterranean mussel). The record is from RNAcentral. Lineage: Eukaryota; Metazoa; Mollusca; Bivalvia; Mytilida; Mytilidae.
UGCCAACUUUUCAAAAUGCCCAUGGGGGUUUUGCGUGCAAGAUGGCUCUCAUAGUCCUACAAAACCUUUAAGGGGGCCUUCAAAUAUAUUCUAAUGUUGUUUUUUUGGCUUCUUUAUACUUUUACUAGGCUAUAGCCAUUGUAAAAUAAAUUGUUUUGUUUAAAUUGUGGACACAAUUGCUCUUUAAAAAUUUCCAUUUGGGAGCCUCCAUGGGGGAAAUCCCCC